CGCAAGAACAGAAAGUUGCACAACAGAAGCUUAACACAGAUAGUCUAUCUGUUUACAGGACCGAAGGAAGCAAGAAGAAGCUUCAGAGCCUGAAGAUAGAAAUAAUGAAAGAAACAAAGAAAAAAGGAAGAAGAAAGGAAGUUGGAAGGAAGAACAAAAGAAAGAACCAGAACUACAUGAGAACUGAGUUUUGAAAUAAAGCUGGAUUAAGGAAAACAGUUGGGAACAAAUGGAGGACUCCAGGAAGCCCAGCUACAUGGCACGAAUACUGAAGAAGAGAAUGAGUGUCCUCGGCAUGAGGCGGCCAUUACUUUACUCUUAGAAAGGAAAUCAUGUGUAAGGAAUCUCCUAUAGUUUUCUGUGGCAUGCAGUUUGUGAGAGCAAGGAGCAUUAGAAGAAGUGUGAGUCCUGCAGGGGAGAGGGAACCUCUGUAGACAUCUGCAUCCUGGAAUUUGUGUGAUUAUUAGGACUUAGGUUUAUUUCCAAAAUGUAAUGCUGGUCUUGUCUAUCUCAGAAUUCUAGUGCUAUUCUGUAUUGCCUAUAUGAUGGAUUGCACUUUGUCAGUUUCUGCUACUUCAAUUUCUUUGGAAAACCAGAAGUAAGCCUAAACAUCAGAUAUGAAUAAGCUUAAUGGUUGAACAAAGUAUUCCACCAUCAAAAAAGAAAAAAAAAAGGCAUGGUUGCUCCAUGUAUCUGUUGUCUAGAAAACUUAUUUUGUUGGCUAUCUGAGCAAAAAGAAAGAGCUCAAGACUACUACUGUUCAUAUUCAGGGGACAGAA
Molecule: long non-coding RNA, 779 nt
Organism: Meriones unguiculatus (Mongolian gerbil)
Lineage: Eukaryota; Metazoa; Chordata; Mammalia; Rodentia; Muridae
Exons: 3
Source: RefSeq, a predicted model, not a curated record